RNAcentral lists this ribosomal RNA (230 nucleotides) under uncultured bacterium. Its description in RNAcentral is "partial 16S ribosomal RNA". It matches the Rfam family "Bacterial small subunit ribosomal RNA", at positions 562 to 791 of the family's 1533-position model. The record is from RNAcentral.
AAAGCGUGCGCAGGCGGUAUUGUAAGACUGUCGUGAAAUCCCCGGGCUCAACCUGGGAAUGGCGAUGGUGACUGCAAGGCUAGAGUUUGGCAGAGGGGGGUAGAAUUCCACGUGUAGCAGUGAAAUGCGUAGAUAUGUGGAGGAACACCGAUGGCGAAGGCAGCCCCCUGGGUCAAAACUGACGCUCAUGCACGAAAGCGUGGGGAGCAAACAGGAUUAGAUACCCGAGU